Molecule: ribosomal RNA, 401 nt
Filed under: uncultured bacterium
Lineage: Bacteria
Description: bacterial SSU rRNA
Rfam family: Bacterial small subunit ribosomal RNA
Source: RNAcentral
CUGGAUUUGACAUCUCGAGAAUUUCUAUGAAAGUAGGAAGUGCCCUUCGGGGAACUCGAAGACAGGUGCUGCAUGGCUGUCGUUAGCUCGUGUCGUGAGAUGUUGGGUUAAGUCCCGCAACGAGCGCAACCCUUAUCUUCAGUUACCAUCAAUUCGGUUGGGGACUCUGGAGAUACUGCCCCGGUUAACGGGGAGGAAGGUGGGGAUGACGUCAAGUCCUCAUGGCCUUUAUGUCCAGGGCUACACACGUGCUACAAUGGUAUAUACAAAGGGUCGCAACCUCGCGAGAGUGAGCCAAUCCCAUAAAGUAUACCUCAGUUCGGAUAGGAGUCUGCAACUCGACUCCUUGAAGUUGGAAUCGCUAGUAAUCGCGGAUCAGCAUGCCGCGGUGAAUACGUUCC